AGAACAUGCAGGUUGCUUGUAGAAACACACUUACAUAAAAGGAGAGAGAUUCUGGGAAGAGUGGGCCUAGCAGGAAUUUGGAAAUUUAGGGGUUUCUAGUUGGCUCUACCUGAAGCCGUGCCUUCUCCUCUCCCCUGUAUUAUCACAUCUCAGAUGAAGCAGUCUUCCUUCUCCUGCCUGAAUGAACACCAUUGAGGUUAGGACCAAUAACUGAAGCCGUAUCUUGGAUGGAAAAGAGAACACCUUCUGCAGUGGGGACCAUGUGUCCUGGCACAGCCCUUUGGAUAACAGUGAGUCAAGAAUUCAGCACAUGCUGCUGACAGAGGACCCACAGAUGCAGCCCGUGCAGACACCCUUUGGGGUAGUUACCUUCCUCCAGAUCGUUGGUGUCUGCACUGAAGAGCUACACUCAGCCCAGCAGUGGAACGGGCAGGGCAUCCUGGAGCUUCUGCGGACAGUGCCUGUUGCUGGCGGCCCCUGGCUGAUAACUGACAUGCGGAGGGGAGAGACCAUAUUUGAGAUCGAUCCACACCUGCAAGAGAGAGUUGACAAAGGCAUCGAGACAGAUGGCUCCAACCUGAGCGGUGUCAGUGCCAAGUGUGCCUGGGAUGACCUGAGCCGGCCCCCUGAGGAUGACGAGGACAGCCGGAGCAUCUGCAUCGGCACACAGCCCCGGCGACUCUCUGGCAAAGACACAGAGCAGAUCCGGGAGACCCUGAGGAGAGGACUCGAGAUCAACAGCAAACCUGUCCUUCCGCCAAUCAACCCUCAGCGGCAGAAUGGCCUCGCCCACGACCGGGCCC
Molecule: small RNA, 803 nt
Filed under: Pongo abelii (Sumatran orangutan)
Lineage: Eukaryota; Metazoa; Chordata; Mammalia; Primates; Hominidae
Description: processed transcript
Source: RNAcentral